RNAcentral lists this ribosomal RNA (301 nucleotides) under uncultured bacterium. Its description in RNAcentral is "partial 16S ribosomal RNA". It matches the Rfam family "Bacterial small subunit ribosomal RNA", at positions 509 to 807 of the family's 1533-position model. The record is from RNAcentral.
CAGCAGCCGCGGUAAUACGUAGGGUGCGAGCGUUAAUCGGAAUUACUGGGCGUAAAGGGCGCGUAGGUGGUUAUUUAAGUGAGAUGUGAAAGCCCCGGGCUUAACCUGGGAACUGCAUUUGUGACUGUAUAGCUAGAGUACGGUAGAGGGGGAUGGAAUUUCGCGUGUAGCAGUGAAAUGCGUAGAUAUGCGGAGGAACACCGAUGACGAAGGCAAUCCCCUGGACCUGUACUGACGCUCAUGCACGAAAGCGUGGGGAGCAAACAGGAUUAGAUACCCGUGUAGUCCCUGUCUCUUAUAC